RNAcentral lists this ribosomal RNA (365 nucleotides) under Salmonella enterica. RNAcentral describes it as "bacterial LSU rRNA". It matches the Rfam family "Bacterial large subunit ribosomal RNA", at positions 454 to 720 of the family's 2925-position model. The record is from RNAcentral. Lineage: Bacteria; Pseudomonadati; Pseudomonadota; Gammaproteobacteria; Enterobacterales; Enterobacteriaceae.
CAUCCUCCAAGGCUAAAUACUCCUGACUGACCGAUAGUGAACCAGUACCGUGAGGGAAAGGCGAAAAGAACCCCGGCGAGGGGAGUGAAAAAGAACCUGAAACCGUGUACGUACAAGCAGUGGGAGCCCCACCACUAAGCCAGUGGUGAACUCCACAUACGCAUCCUUUGCUGAGGAUACGGUUAACGGAGCGAAAGCGACGUUCAACCUCAAAAGAAGCAGAGGGGGCUUAGUGGUGGGGUGACUGCGUACCUUUUGUAUAAUGGGUCAGCGACUUAUAUUCUGUAGCAAGGUUAACCGAAUAGGGGAGCCGGAGGGAAACCGAGUCUUAACCGGGCGUUAAGUUGCAGGGUAUAGACCCGAAA